This 71-nucleotide transfer RNA is filed under the name Pleurocapsa minor GSE-CHR-MK 17-07R. Its description in RNAcentral is "Pleurocapsa minor GSE-CHR-MK-17-07R (algae metagenome) tRNA-Gly". It matches the Rfam family "tRNA". From Rfam's summary of the family: Transfer RNA (tRNA) molecules are approximately 80 nucleotides in length. Their secondary structure includes four short double-helical elements and three loops (D, anti-codon, and T loops). RNAcentral also lists the same sequence under 1 other name. Lineage: Bacteria; Bacillati; Cyanobacteriota; Cyanophyceae; Pleurocapsales; Pleurocapsaceae. The record is from RNAcentral.
GCGGGUGUGGUGUAAUGGCAGCACACGACCCUUCCAAGGUCUUAGCGUCAGUUCGAAUCUGAUCACCCGCU